Vitis riparia (riverbank grape) is the source of this 161-nucleotide small nuclear RNA. RefSeq annotates it as U1 spliceosomal RNA. The transcript has a single exon. Lineage: Eukaryota; Viridiplantae; Streptophyta; Magnoliopsida; Vitales; Vitaceae. The record is from RefSeq and is a predicted model, not a curated record.
AUACUUACCUGGACGGGGUCGAUGGCCAAUCAUUAAAGGCCAUGGCCUAGGUUAGUGACCUCCAUUGCACCUAGGAGGGGCACUCGUCUAAGAUCUGCCUAAGUGGCAGAGUCUGCGUCAUAAUUUGUGGUAGAGGGGUCUUGCGUUCGCGCGAUCCCUGC